Molecule: long non-coding RNA, 681 nt
Organism: Daphnia magna
Lineage: Eukaryota; Metazoa; Arthropoda; Branchiopoda; Diplostraca; Daphniidae
Exons: 7
Source: RefSeq, a predicted model, not a curated record
UCAUUUCAAGCAGACGCCAAGCAUCAAUAGCGUGGUCUGUGCUAUGUGAUUGCAUUGUUACUGCUGGAGUGAGCAAUUUCAGAUUGCGUCAUGAUGGCGUGCCCCGUUAGCGUCGUGAUCGGCGUGCCCUGUUAGCGUCAUGGUUGGCGUGCCCUGUGUUAGCGUCAUGAUUGGCGUGCCCUGUGUUAACACGAUAUGUUUUAUUUAUUCGUGUGCUGUGAUUUCAACACCAGCAUUGGUCAGAGGAGACUCGCAAGCAGCAAGGAAAGGAGGCUGCUCUUCAUCAGCCAGAAGUUUGAUACAAAGGAGUACACAAGUUGAUUUCAUUACUUAUAAGCAAAGUAAAUUUUUUGGAUAUAGAUGGGCAGCAAUUUUAUCGAGCCAUGACAUCUGAUUUCUGUUAUCCUGCUUAUGGUGACCUGUCAAUUGAUGAUAAGCCAAACCUAAGUUGCCUCUAGGAAUUAUGAAUGUCAAAUUUGGGACACAUCUGUGCAGUCUUUUUAUCGAGCUCUGACAUCUGAUUGCUAUGCUAUGCUAUGCUUCUGUUGCUAUACUCCAUGCCUUUGGUGCCCUCUCCCUCUAUGAUAAGCCAAAGCUAAGCUACGUAAACAAGUUGAUUGCAUUAUUUGUCACACAACAACACAAUGAUUUAAAUUGAUAAUAAAUACUUUAUUUAUCAAC